RNAcentral lists this ribosomal RNA (292 nucleotides) under uncultured bacterium. RNAcentral describes it as "partial 16S ribosomal RNA". It matches the Rfam family "Bacterial small subunit ribosomal RNA", at positions 505 to 796 of the family's 1533-position model. The record is from RNAcentral.
GUGUCAGCAGCCGCGGUAAGACGAACCGAGCGAACGUUGUUCGGAAUCACUGGGCUUAAAGGGCGCGUAGGCGGGCUGUCAAGUCUGGGGUGAAAUCCCGCGGCUCAACCGUGGAACUGCCUCAGAUACUGACGGUCUCGAGGGAGGUAGGGGCGAGCGGAACUGAUGGUGGAGCGGUGAAAUGCGUUGAUAUCAUCAGGAACUCCGGUGGCGAAGGCGGCUCGCUGGACCUCUUCUGACGCUGAGGCGCGAAAGCCAGGGGAGCAAACGGGAUUAGAAACCCGCGUAGUCC